UUGGAGAUUAUAUCUAGCUAAGGAGGAGGGGAGCUUUCACGGUUUCUUGGAGCUUCAAGAGGGCCGGAAAUUCUGACCUUGCAAACCAAAGGAGUAGUGGUGAAAGCAUUAAUGUCACAUUAUGGGGAACAACAUCGAAUCAGUUCGAUGAUGAGACUAUUUUGGUGUCUGAUCAACCAUUAGUGUUGGUGAUCUCUUCAGUGACAGUUAAACAAUUCAGAGGAAUUGGUUUACACUUCCAAAGUGACGAUUUUGAAAGUUGAUUUCAACAGUCAACUCAACUGUACUACAAAGCAUGUCCAAAAUGUCAGAGAAAAGUGACAUUAGAAGGAUCUAAUUUUGUGUGCAAUACUUGCAAUCAAAAUGUGGAGUAUCCCAAAUUAAGGUAUGUCGUAGGUAUUAAUUUUUUAUCAUUUUAAUUGCUACAAUAUCUACAUAAACAUAACUUUUAGAAUAUGUGUAUUUAUACAUGUAUAUGUUAAAAGUCUUGGCAAGUGAUGCAACCUGUAGUGCUUGGUUUGUUAUAUUUGA
This is a non-coding RNA of Coffea arabica (coffee), 531 nucleotides long. The record is from RefSeq and is a predicted model, not a curated record. NCBI's taxonomy places the organism in Eukaryota, Viridiplantae, Streptophyta, Magnoliopsida, Gentianales, Rubiaceae.